UUUCUUUUCUUUCUUUCUCUCUUUCUUUUGUUGUUCUUUUUCUCUUUCUUUUUAAUAUGUUACAACUCUCAUAUAAAUUCUUUUGAAAUUCUCCAUUCUUUUUUAGAUGAGAUUCCCAUUAUGAGAAAUGGAAUCUUCUUUGAGAUGAUUGGGCUAUUCCUGUGACUAAACUGCACAGUAUCACCUGCUUCUCAACUCCUUCCCCUCCUCCAGACCUGGCCUUUACAUAGCAUUGAAUAAUCUUCCAUUGCCUGGAUAUGCCAGUUUAUCCACUUACUGAAGGACAUCUUGCUUCCAAGUUUUGGCAACUAUGAAUAAAGCUGCUACAAACUUCAUGUGCAGAUUUUUGUGUGGACAAUGUUUUUUACAUUCAGUCUGAAUAUAGAGCAAAUUUUCUAAAUCAAAUCCUAACAAGCCAAAUAUAAAACACCAAAUCAAAUCAUUUAUCAACAUGCCUGGUAGGGAUUAACCUUCCAGGACACAAUGAAACCCCAAAAACUACAUCACGAUGUUAGGAAUAAAAAACUCUUGAGAGUUCCCCUCGUGACUCAGUGGUUAAUGAAUCUGACUAGAAACCAUGAGGUUGUGGGUUCAAUCCCUGGCCUCCAUCAGUGGGUUAAAGAUCUGGCGUUGCUGUGAGCCAUGGUCUAGGUUGCAGAUGCAGCUCAGAUCUGGCAUUGCUGUGGCUAUGGCAUAGACUGGCGGCUACAGCUCCAAUUAGACUCUGAUGAUUUCAACAAUAUUUACCUUUGUCAUUUCUCUCUUCUCUGCCCCUCCCUUCCUAAUACAUAAGCACGAGUUAGCAUGACACAAUGGAUCAAUGGAUGCUGUGGCCAGGUUGUUCGUGUUUCUGUUU
Molecule: non-coding RNA, 856 nt
Organism: Sus scrofa (pig)
Lineage: Eukaryota; Metazoa; Chordata; Mammalia; Artiodactyla; Suidae
Source: RefSeq, a predicted model, not a curated record